GGGCUCGUAGCUCAGUAGGUGAGAGCGCGCGCCUGAUAAGCGCGAGGUCAGUGGUUCGACUCCACUCGAGCCCACCA
RNAcentral lists this transfer RNA (77 nucleotides) under Methanothrix soehngenii. Its description in RNAcentral is "tRNA-Ile". It matches the Rfam family "tRNA". From Rfam's summary of the family: Transfer RNA (tRNA) molecules are approximately 80 nucleotides in length. Their secondary structure includes four short double-helical elements and three loops (D, anti-codon, and T loops). Lineage: Archaea; Methanobacteriati; Methanobacteriota; Methanomicrobia; Methanotrichales; Methanotrichaceae. RNAcentral also lists the same sequence under 10 other names. The record is from RNAcentral.